GUGUCGCGCUCCCUCCCAUUCAUUCCCCCUCUCUCUUUCUCUCUCUCUUCACAGAAAGGUGUUAUCCUUGUCUGACAACUCCCCUAUGAGUGAGAGAGAGAGAGAGAGAGGGAGGGAGAGUUGGGGAGCAAAGAGUUGG
Xyrichtys novacula (pearly razorfish) is the source of this 139-nucleotide non-coding RNA. Lineage: Eukaryota; Metazoa; Chordata; Actinopteri; Labriformes; Labridae. The record is from the annotation of a GenBank genome assembly.